CUUUGAUGUUCAUCUCAGUCAGGCAUGGAGAUCUUGGGGGCUUUGAUGUUCAUCUCAGGCAUCUUGAAUUUAGGGCCCUUUAGUUUCGCAUCUGGACCUUCGAUAUUCACAUCAGGAACAUCAAUGUCCACCUUGGGUCCUGAGACGUCAAGGUCAGCCUUGGGCAGGUUCACAUCCACAUCUGGGCCCUCUCCUUUGAAGCCAGGCAUGCUGAACUUGGGCAUUUUCACCUUGGGCAUCUUCAGGUGCCAGUCUGGGCCUUGAACACCCACAUCUGGGGCAUUAAUAUCCACUUUGGGCCCCUUGAUGUCAACUUCGGGGCCCUUGAGGUCACCUUCC
RNAcentral lists this long non-coding RNA (339 nucleotides) under Homo sapiens (human). RNAcentral's name for it is "HSALNT0176114". The record is from RNAcentral. Lineage: Eukaryota; Metazoa; Chordata; Mammalia; Primates; Hominidae.